GUGCUUGCUUCAGCAGCACAUAUACUAACACUGGAACAAUACAGAAAAUAUUAGCAUGGCCCCUAUGCACGAAAAAGAGAAAGUAGGAAUAAUAAACAUAUCU
Molecule: small nuclear RNA, 103 nt
Organism: Ailuropoda melanoleuca (giant panda)
Lineage: Eukaryota; Metazoa; Chordata; Mammalia; Carnivora; Ursidae
Source: Ensembl